CAGCCGCCGCGGUAAAACGUAGGGUGCAAGCGUUAAUCGGAAUUACUGGGCGUAAAGCGUGCGUAGGUGGUGGUUUAAGUCCGUUGUGAAAGCCCUGGGCUCAACCUGGGAAUUGCAGUGGAUACUGGGUCACUAGAGUGUGGUAGAGGAUAGUGGAAUUUCCGGUGUAGCAGUGAAAUGCGUAGAGAUCGGAAGGAACAUCUGUGGCGAAGGCGACUAUCUGGGCCAACACUGACACUGAGGCACGAAAGCGUGGGGAGCAAACAGGAUUAGAUACCCCAGUAGUCCCUGUCUCUUAUAC
This 301-nucleotide ribosomal RNA is filed under the name uncultured bacterium. RNAcentral describes it as "partial 16S ribosomal RNA". It matches the Rfam family "Bacterial small subunit ribosomal RNA", at positions 509 to 807 of the family's 1533-position model. The record is from RNAcentral.